UGCCCUAGUAACGGCGAGUGAAGCGGCAACAGCUCAAAUUUGAAAUCUGGCCCUAGGCCCGAGUUGUAAUUUGCAGAGGAUGCUUUUGGUGACGCGCUUACCGAGUCCCCUGGAACGGGGCGCCACAGAGGGUGAGAGCCCCGUAUGGUUUGACGCCGAGCCUCUGUAAAGCUCCUUCGACGAGUCGAGUAGUUUGGGAAUGCUGCUCUAAAUGGGAGGUAAAUUUCUUCUAAAGCUAAAUACCGGCCAGAGACCGAUAGCGCACAAGUAGAGUGAUCGAAAGAUGAAAAGCACUUUGAAAAGAGGGUUAAAUAGCACGUGAAAUUGUUGAAAGGGAAGCGCUCGUGACCAGACUUGCGCCGGGCGGAUCAUCCAGCGUUCUCGCUGGUGCACUCCGCCCGGCUCAGGCCAGCAUCGGUUUUCGCCGGGGGACAAAAGCUUCGGGAACGUAGCUCCCCUCGGGGAGUGUUAUAGCCCGUCGCGUAAUACCCCGGCGGGGACCGAGGACCGCGCUUCGGCAAGGAUGCUGGCGUAAUGGUCAUCAGCGACCCGUCUUGAAACACGGACCGAGGAGUCAAGCAUUAGUGCGAGUGUUUGGGUGUAAAACCCGCACGCGUAAUGAAAGUGAACGUAGGUGAGAGCUUCGGCGCAUCAUCGACCGAUCCUGAUGUUUUCGGAUGGAUUUGAGUAGGAGCAUUAACGCUUGGACCCGAAAGAUGGUGAACUAUACUUGAAUAGGGUGAAGCCA
This 748-nucleotide ribosomal RNA is filed under the name Atripes paspali. RNAcentral's name for it is "partial large subunit ribosomal RNA". It matches the Rfam family "Eukaryotic large subunit ribosomal RNA", at positions 76 to 854 of the family's 3401-position model. The record is from RNAcentral. Lineage: Eukaryota; Fungi; Ascomycota; Sordariomycetes; Magnaporthales; Magnaporthaceae.